Molecule: small RNA, 80 nt
Filed under: Salmonella enterica
Lineage: Bacteria; Pseudomonadati; Pseudomonadota; Gammaproteobacteria; Enterobacterales; Enterobacteriaceae
Also listed under: 2 other names
Description: partial RtT sRNA
Rfam family: RtT RNA
About the family: This family represents a bacterial cis-regulatory element known as RtT RNA. The exact function of RtT is unknown although it is thought that it may be involved in changing the cellular response in relation to amino acid starvation.
Source: RNAcentral
GCGCAGCGAGAAAGCGUUGCCGCAGGCAACGACCCGAAGGGCGAAGCGCGCAGCGCUGAGUAAUCCUUCCCCCACCACCA